Diorhabda carinulata is the source of this 320-nucleotide long non-coding RNA. RefSeq lists it as uncharacterized. NCBI's taxonomy places the organism in Eukaryota, Metazoa, Arthropoda, Insecta, Coleoptera, Chrysomelidae. The record is from RefSeq and is a predicted model, not a curated record. The transcript is spliced from 2 exons.
AAAUAAGUUCAUCCUUAAAACAGAAACGGCGUCUCAGUUAAGAUACAUUUUUAUAAAAUGAAGUAUUUUCUUUUACUUUUCGUUUUGUUUGUAUUUUUUGCCGUGGCUCUCGCAGAUAGUGGAUGUAAUGUUGUACCAUGCAGUAGCUAUUGUCAACAGACUGGACACUUUGGAGGAUACUGCGUAGGACCCAAUUUGAGUACUUGUCAUUGUUACGACCUUCACGGCAAAAACUGAAACUGUUAUAAGAAACACACAGAAACAAAAUUCCAUUAGAUUGUAUAUUUCACGUAUUAUAUAUAAACUAUAUCAAAAACGUA